Molecule: non-coding RNA, 98 nt
Organism: Acanthosepion pharaonis
Lineage: Eukaryota; Metazoa; Mollusca; Cephalopoda; Sepiida; Sepiidae
Source: the annotation of a GenBank genome assembly
GCUGAAACACCAGCUCCCGUACGAUCAUCGAAGUUAAACAACGUCGAGCGUGAUUAGUAACUAAAUGGGUGACCGCUUGGUAAUACUAGGUGCUGAAA